This 556-nucleotide ribosomal RNA is filed under the name uncultured bacterium. RNAcentral's name for it is "bacterial SSU rRNA". It matches the Rfam family "Bacterial small subunit ribosomal RNA", at positions 37 to 586 of the family's 1533-position model. The record is from RNAcentral.
UAGCGGGAGGCUUAAUACAUGCAAGUCGAACGGCAGCAGGAUUAAUUUAUUAAUGGAUGGCAAGUGGCGCACGGGUGAGUAACGCGUACACAACCUGCCCUUAAGAGGGGGAUAGCCCUGGGAAACUGGGAGUAAUACCGCAUAAUAUUAUUUGGACGCAUGUUUAGAUAAUUAAAGUUUAGGCGCUUAAGGAUGGGUGUGCGUUAGAUUAGGUAGUUGGUGAGGUAACGGCUCACCAAGCCGACGAUCUAUAGGGGGCGUGAGAGCGUGAUCCCCCACACGGGUACUGAGACACGGACCCGACUCCUACGGGAGGCAGCAGUAAGGAAUAUUGGACAAUGCCCGCAAGGGUGAUCCAGCCAUCCCGCGUGCAGGAAGAAAGCCCUAUGGGUUGUAAACUGCUUUUGUAAGGGAAGAAACCCCCUGAUGCGUUAGGGGUUGACGGUACCUUAAGAAUAAGCACCGGCUAACUCCGUGCCAGCAGCCGCGGUAAUACGGAGGGUGCAAGCGUUAUCCGGAAUCACUGGGUUUAAAGGGUGCGUAGGCGGCUAAAUAA